CAUAAUCCCGUCUGCCCCAUCCCUUGACCCGACCUGCUCCCCAAAUUUAACACACGCAAGCAGAGACUGCUUAAGCCCUAAUCUCCCAAAUACGCGUACUGUUCUUCUUCUCACGAAGAACACGCGAGCAAGCUCCAAAUUCCGUCCAAGUUCAUGGCGAGUGAGCAUCAAUCUUCAACCCACGCGUUCUCCCCAUCCAUCCUCUCUCCGUUCUAACGGAUUUCUCACCAAAGAUUCUCAUUCCUCUCAUCGCCCGAUCUUGAACUAUCUCACGCGAUUAGAAGGUGAUAGAGACGAGUGGUUGGAUGAUUGUGAGGCAUUGGACUGAUUUCAUUCAAUCCGAGCCCCACAUUCAUCAAGGGGUUCGUUUCAUAAAGGAUUGGAGCCGAUUCUGAGACGGAGAGGAAGAACUUUUGAGCAUAAAACUGAGGUUUGAAAAAGAGUCUUUCUUCUUCUACUCCAUUGUAGAUUACAAUUUAGUUCGAGUCCAUAAGAAAAUACAGAAAAAUAUACUCUUCUGCGUUAAAUUCUAUUUUCCUUUGUUAGAAUCAGAAAACGAAAAAAAAAGUUUCGAUUUCUUUGCAUAUCAUCGCUGUUUAAUCGUGCUUGUGAUGGAAUUGGUUUACAAAUGGAGCUCGUUUGAGAAUUGCUGAUUUCGUCGCUGUCUAAACUUCUGAUCUCUGCUCGUCUUAGCUACUGAUUUGGCUGUGUUUCGAGCCUUCUGUUAUUUUACUGUUGAAAGUUUGGAGUCGAAACUUUGUAAUCGCCUUCGAUUCUGCUAUCAAAAGAAGUUUGAAAUUUCAGGUUCAAUCUUCAUCUCUUUGCUCUUGCGAUUCUAUUUCGUUUCAGUGCUUUGAACGAUGUAUUUCUGUCUCGCAUGGUGGUAGGAUCAAAUUUCGUGUUGAAUGAAUUCAUCCUCAGUGGUGUGAUGUAUUUGAGUAUCUUCAGUUAGUAGAAGCUGAUUUUAAUUGGUCGUUUUCUAUGGUUUAACUGUUAUUAUGAUGUCGAGUUUUCAUUUGAGUCCAAAUUUUGUCAUUUUCACAUAGCUGUUAUAGUUUGGUUGGUCUGUCGUUUUGAAACUGUUCUCACCUGCUGGAACUGGAAGGUUGGUUCCUGACUUUGUUUGAUUUUGAGCGUUAUACUGUGAGUAUGGAAAUCGAUUAGUUCAUUUGCUCGUUUCCUAAGUAUUCUGGAUUGUAUCUGUUAGUUCGAAUUUGAAAUAGAUUUUGCAACUUUCUAUGUAAUUUUCGGUCCAUUAAUGAUUUGGUCUUUAGAUAAAAGUUUGCUGUGAGCUUGCUUACUUUCAUGCUUAACCCAUUCAAGUGCAGGAAUUAACACCAUGAAGCUUAGAAUCAGUGCCUUAACUUUUGAAUCUGAAAUGCAAUUAAGCUUAGAAUCUGUGCCUUGCCUACAGAGUAUUUGAAGGUGAUUGUUCCAAUGAAUUAUUCUUUUCCUAAGAGCUUCAGUUCUAAGGCUACUGCUAAUAACAUAAUUUCACAUGAAUGUACUGGACCUUUCUUUCUUUUAAUCCUCUUGUUCUUUUCCCCACCUUGGACCAAUCACGUUUAGACUUUGCAAGGCAAUUUGGUUGUGCAAAGAGCUGAAAGUUACCAUUUCGAUUUUCCUUAGUGUAUUAGUUAUUAGGUUCUGAUUUUCACUUUUACUUUGCCAAUCUAAGUUGUUCUUCCUCUAGCUAACAUUCUGUUUUUCUUCCCAUGUUCAGUUUUGAGUGCGCUUGUUUAACUGGUUUGGUUACGCUUAAACCAUUUUCGAAUCAGUUUGGUUAAGCAUGAUUUCGAGUCAGUCUGCUUGAAUUUAGAUCUAUUGUUAGUUGGAAAUUCCAAUGUGUACUUAUUGUGUGGUUUGGGGUCUCUAAGCCCAAAACUCGAAUGGUAAUCGACUAGUUAAUUUUUAGUGGCAAGCCAUGGGUUUUGAGUUAGGUAGCAAGUUUUAAUCUAAAAGGUUCGUCCUUUUGUUUGGACCCAGACUUGAACUUGAAGCCCUAGCUUUAAUAAUAAUCUAAUUAGGAUCUUUUCUUUUCUUUUAGAGACAAAAAGAAAAUUAGAAAAAUAUAGUUUAUUUUAGGUUUAUCCUUUUAAAAUAAAAUGAGACGAGCCUCGCCCAACAAAAAAUAUAAAUUGCUGGGCCCUCAGUGAAGGUUUAAAAAUAUUUAGAAAAUUGGGAAGGUUCGUUUAGCGAAUUUCACGACCCUCCCCAAAUAUUACAACGCGUUAGACCCUAUUAGGCGCGACUUUAAUAAAUUACAUUCCUAAAUACGGGUGGACAUUUUAUGCGGCCUAAAUUCAAAUCCUAAAACGUUGAAUAGAGUAUGCCUAGGAUUGCGGGUUCAGUUGAUGCGGCGCAAUCUGAAAACACACUUUAAAUGACGUUCACUUUCUCUUAAAUUAAUAUUAUAUUAAAUAAAAGCGGUUAAGCAUAAAAUUGGCACAUAGGCUCUUCAUGUAAUAAAAUCAGACAAAAGUUACAUGCAACAGUUGAGCUACCGUGCUAGAACCACGAAACUCGGGAAUGCUUAACACCUUCUCCUGGGUUAACAGAAUUCCUUAUCCGGAUUUCUGAUUUGCGGACUAUUAACAGAGUCAUCUUUUUCCUUGUUUCGGGAUUCAAUCGGUGACUUGGGCCACUAUUAAUAUCCCAAGUGGCAACUCUGAAUAAUUAAUAAACAAGUCCAGUUUCAAUUGUCCUUUAAGUAGAAAAAUUCCUUUACGCCCUUUGCGGGGGUGUUACAGUGAAAAAGAAGGUGUGACACUCCAGAGGAAACAGGUCAAGGAUCCUCCUCCAAGGUCAGUUCUGCUCCAGCACCCUUUCCACACUUUCCUGUUAAGCCCUUGGAGAUUUUGGUUCCUGAGAUGAGGUCUAGUGAUGAGGAAGACCAAGAUAACAUUGCUCUGGAUGCUUUCAUUUUCAAUAGAAGGGCAGUAAUCAAUUUUGAGUCUUCUACUAAGCGACCUACUACUAGGUUGAAAGCUAAAGAGACUUAUGAGUCUGCCCUACAAAAGAUCAAAAGGAGCAGUAAGAAGAAAGCGAAGAGGUUGGUAAAAAUGGAGAAGUGGUAAAUGACAAGGACAUUCCUGUGGUGGAAGUCAAUGAGGAAACAACAAAGGAACCUAGUUCCUUGGUUAACAAAUCUCAGAAGAAGAAGCAACAUGCUUCAGUGGAGGAUGUUACUACUCCUAAUUCAAAGGUGAAAGGUAUUGUGAAAGCAGGAAAGUUGAAACAUGUUGUGAGUGAACAGUAUUUUUUGAUGAGGAUAUGUUGAACAAGUCUAGUAGAAAAGCAAAACCAAGUGUGAAGUCUGGAAAAAGGAAGUUGGAACCUGUGAGGGAACCUGUUUCUGCAAAGAGAGUAAAAUGUGAGGCUAGGUCUUCUACGUAACGAUUGAGGCACCAAAAGGUCUUGUUGGGUCGUACUUUUGACCUAGCAAUUUCUGAUAUGGUUGGCAUGAGACAAGUAAUUGAGGUUGAGUUUCAAUGCUGGGGGAAUCUAUUCCAAAUAGAUGCACCCAAGGUGUAUGAGGAUGGGGUCCAAUUCUUAUAUGCCGUCCACUUUCUUUUUGACACUGACCAUAUUUCUGCUUUAGUUAACGGGGUGGAUGUUGUGUUUGAUGUUUCUCUACUUGGGGAUAUUCUGAAAGUCCCUACUGUUGGUAUGUCUUCUGUGAAGGAUGUGUGUGGGUCAAACUUCAGAAAUACUAUCGUGAAGGAUAAUGCAAACCAGAAGGGGGAACGAGUUAAUAAGAAAGCCUUGCUCCCUGUUUAUCAAUUACUUUUUGAGCUGGUGGACAAGGUUUUUCUACGCCGUGCUGAUAGGAGGUCCAUGACUUCCAGGUUUGACUUGUAUCUGAUGGAGGCACUGGAUGGAUUUACACAUGUGAACUUGCCUGCCAUCAUAAUUGAGCAUAUACUGAAGGUGGCGACUUUUAUGGAUGGAAACCAUGGACUUCCACAUGGGUUUCUUCGCAUGCAUGUUUUUCAAGUUCUUCAAAGUGCCACUGGGACAGUGCAAAGUAGGGACCAAGAGGCAAACUUUCUCUCAAACAACAUUGGAGGAAUGUGAGUGUAUCGAAAAGAAUGGAAGGGUAGACAGUACUUCGACAAUCUCUCAGCUCAUCAAUGCUCAAAAUAGUGUAACUAACGAGAUUUGAAAGUUGAAGGCGAGGAACGCUAUCCUGGAAGAUCAACAUGCCCAAGGGGCCUUAGGGUCAAAUAAGGAGAUAGCUCGUUUGACCAAAGAAAAUGCUGAUCUUAUGGCACGAGUGGAGAACCUGAAGAAGAAACUGCUCGCCGAGCAAAUGUCGGCGCAUUCCCUAAUAGAUCUUGUUCUUCGAACCCUUGCUGCAACUUCCAAACCCUCUCCUCCUAGUGUCCCUUAGGCAGCCCUUUCAGUGACCAGUCGUUGUUUUUGUUUCCUUUUGUGAUAUGGAUGAGAUGUACUUGUACUGUUCCCACUGAAAACAGUCCAAUCUUUGCCUUUGUUGUAUAGCAAAGGCAUAUGUUUUAUAUAUAAAAACUAUCCUCUUUUGCUAUUUAAUACUUAUGCUUCUCUGUUUCUAUAUUCUAUCAUGUUGUGUGCACAUAUGUGGCAUGAGUUAGCUAGGCUAGACUUCUUUAUGCUAAUUGAUUGCUUGUGUAUUUUUAAUGAUGCCAAAAGGGGGAAAUAUAAUUGAAAUAGGGAUCUGAUUAAGGGGGAAGCAUAGAGUCAUGGGGAACUUGUGAGGUUCUUGUUGCUUCAUCUAGUUAAUUAUGCUCUAAAUGUGGGUUAUCAAUUUUUAAGUUUUUCAUCAUUAAAAUGGGGGAAAUUGAUGGUUUUCCAAUGUCUUAUCUUUAUGUUUUGAUGAUCUAAUAAACUUAUUGUCAAAGAACCGGAUAAGGAACCUGACACACUUGGUACAUAUUGUUAAUCAACGGACUCCGGCUAAUGUGAACUACUACAACUUCAGGAGAUAGAGAACCAACACGAGGACCUGAUACCCUUGUGUUGACAGCAAUAUGAAGUCAACUGUGUACAACUAGAAAGUGAGUGCAUGCACUGUACACAGAAACAAUUCAAUGCAAUUUUGCAGCCACUUGUCCUUUGACCAACCAAGUGAUUACAUCAUUCAAGGGAUGCAUUCAAGUUGUAUUAACAAGAGUAUUACAACAAAAUAUUACUUGAAAAAUUUUCAAGCAUUCAAGCCAUCUGAUAUUCGAGCAUUCAAUUAUCAAGUGCAUCAAGAAUAAAGUUUAACGCUACUACGCACCAGUUCCUAAAUAUAGUAUUUUAUUGUCCUUAGUUGAGUUGUAACUUUAUAGUUGUUCUUCAUCGUAAUUCAUAAUUUUCUUAGCUAAAAGCAUUUCUUAGGAACCCUCUUGUAAAAUCAUAAAACCUUAGUGUUUGUGUCAUGACUGGAGUUAGUCAUGAGUUGAAGUCUUUGUAAUAGGUGUAUUGCAAAGUGUCUUGUAAUAGGUAUAUUACAAGUUAGUGAGAGAUUAAUAGUUUAAUUCCUAGAUUGAAUAUGUUGUAAUCUAAAAGUUGUUUAUAGUGAAGUUGAAAUC
RNAcentral lists this long non-coding RNA (5555 nucleotides) under Nicotiana benthamiana. RNAcentral's name for it is "long non-coding RNA (NBEN_LNC004839)". The stretch from base 297 to 368 matches the Rfam family "MIR6151 microRNA precursor family". The record is from RNAcentral. Lineage: Eukaryota; Viridiplantae; Streptophyta; Magnoliopsida; Solanales; Solanaceae.